CAGUAGCCACGGUAAUACGUAGGGCGCAAGCGUUAUCCGGAAUUAUUGGGCGUAAAGAGCUCGUAGGCGGUUUGUCGCGUCUGCCGUGAAAGUCCGGGGCUCAACCCCGGAUCUGCGGUGGGUACGGGCAGACUAGAGUGAUGUAGGGGAGACUGGAAUUCCUGGUGUAGCGGUGAAAUGCGCAGAUAUCAGGAGGAACACCGAUGGCGAAGGCAGGUCUCUGGGCAUUAACUGACGCUGAGGAGCGAAAGCAUGGGGAGCGAACAGGAUUAGAUACCCGAGUAGUCCCUGUCUCUUAUAC
Molecule: ribosomal RNA, 301 nt
Filed under: uncultured bacterium
Lineage: Bacteria
Description: partial 16S ribosomal RNA
Rfam family: Bacterial small subunit ribosomal RNA
Source: RNAcentral